AUGAAGUGGUUGAGUUUAGAAUUUAUGGUGACAGAAGGAAAACUGCCACCAAAACUUCAGCCCUGGAUAUGGGGAAAGCAGACUAGGCUGUUCAGGGAACUAGUCAGCAAGGUCCCCUGGGAAGCUGCUUUUGAAGUCAUUGGCGUCCAUCAGUGCUGGUCAAUCAUAAAGCACUGCCUCCUAAAAGUACAAGAUCAGGUGAUUCCAAAAUAUUGGAAGGCAGGCAGGUGGGGCAGAAGGCCGGCCUGGCUGACAAGGCAUCUACUGGAGCUUAGACAGAAAAAGAAAGUGUACAGCUGCUGGAAAGAGGGUCAGGCGAUGAGGAAGGAAUAUGCUGUUCGUGUUUGUAGGGAGAAAAUUUGUGGGGCCAAAGCCCAACAAGAGUUGAAGCUGGCCAAGUCUGUGAGAGACAAUAAAAAAGUUUUUUUUUUUUUUUUAAAUGUUAACAGAAAAAGGAGAAACAAAGAAAACUUAGUUCUGCUACUUGACGGGGAAGAUCUCCUCACAGACAAUGACAUAGGCAAAGCAGAGAAGUUUAAUGCCUUCUUCACCUCUGUCUUCAAUGCUGCUGAUGGGCUUUGGGACCCUGGGUGCCCUGAGCAGGAAGACCAUGAUGGUGGGAAUGACAAACUCGCAACCAACCCUGAAUGUGUGUGGGAUUUGCUGCUCCACCUGGAUCCAUACAAGCUCAUGGAUCCAGAUGGGAUCCAUCCCAGGGUGCUUAAAGAGCUGGCUGAUGUCAUUGUGGGACCUCUCUCAAUUAUUUUUCAACUGUCUUGGGAAUCUGGAGAGGUCCCAGUAGACUGGAAGCUGGCGAAUGUUGUGCCAAAUUUUAAGAAGUGUAAGAAAGAAGACCGUAGCAAUUACAGGCCUGUCAGUCUCAUGUCACUGCCUGGUAAAAUUAUGGAGAAGAUGAUUCUUGAAGUUAUUGAGGCGCACCCGGGCGACAAUGCAGUCAUUGGUCCCAGCCAACAUGGGUUCAUGAGGGCUAGGUCCUGCCUAACAAAUUUGCUUUCCUUUUAUAAGAUCAUCUAG
RNAcentral lists this long non-coding RNA (1035 nucleotides) under Anas platyrhynchos platyrhynchos (common mallard). Its description in RNAcentral is "lncRNA (ENSAPLG00000016641.1)". The record is from RNAcentral. Lineage: Eukaryota; Metazoa; Chordata; Aves; Anseriformes; Anatidae.